Molecule: non-coding RNA, 969 nt
Organism: Oryza sativa Japonica Group (Japanese rice)
Lineage: Eukaryota; Viridiplantae; Streptophyta; Magnoliopsida; Poales; Poaceae
Source: RefSeq, a predicted model, not a curated record
UAAUUACGGAACGAAUCGUUUUGUUUGAAUUCUAUCCUCGAGCGAGAGCGAACCAAGGAGCCAUCUCUCCGCCGCCGGCGACGGGCAUCGGUGGCCCUCUUCCUCCCCUAGGCCCCUGCUGCUCUUCUUCCCAACUGUCAUCAGAUUCUUCCCUGACACUAGCGCCAUCUUCUUGGCAGCCUUCUGUGAUCAAGAUGGAUCUAGUUCCUCGAUCCAAGGCAAAUUGGGACACAUUUAGCAACAGGGCCUUUUGUGAGAUCUGUGCCGAGGAAUGUGAGGCUGGGAAUAGACCUACGGGUUGUUUGUCAACUACUGGCUACAAAAAUCUACAGCUGAAGUUCUUUCAGAGGACAGGGAAAAAGCAUGACCAAAAACAAUUAAAGAACCACUGGGAAACACUAAAGAAGGAAUACAACUUGUGGAUCGAACUGAAGGAAAAAUCAACUGGAUUAGGCUGGGAUCCAAUUAAAGGAACAUUUACUGCUGAUGAUGCUUGGUGGGCGGACCACAUAGUGAAGCACCCUAAUCAUACGCAUUUUCGUAAUGGACCACCGGCUAAUCUACAAGAAAUGGACGUCGUAUGAUAAAGCUUUUGUCACUGGUAACAGUUCAGCUAUACCCGGAUCUUACUGAAUUUGCCAAGUUAUCGGAUGAAAAGGCAAACGAAGAUUAUUCUUGCAUGUAUGGCUCUUCACAAUUUUAUUCGAGACAGUGUUUUGCGUGAUGAACUUUUUGGGAGAUGUGAUCUCGAUGAAGAGUUCGAUCCAAACACUGAACAAGCUAGUUCAUCUCAAGAAAAUGGUAUCAAUGGAUUAGCGGUGGAUGAUGAAGACAUGAAUGCUUUCCGUGAUAGGAUUGCUAAUUCACUAACGGCAACAAGGGCAUAGAUUGAUAGGUUAAUUUAUAUAUAUGUGCUUGUAUUAUUUUACUUCCUCAUUUGUUGUCGUGGCAUAUAUGUGAUCUUAUUAU